Molecule: ribosomal RNA, 497 nt
Filed under: uncultured bacterium
Lineage: Bacteria
Description: partial 16S ribosomal RNA
Rfam family: Bacterial small subunit ribosomal RNA
Source: RNAcentral
GAUGAACGCUGGCGGCGUGCCUAAUACAUGCAAGUCGAGCGAACAGACGAGGAGCUUGCUCCUCUGACGUUAGCGGCGGACGGGUGAGUAACACGUGGAUAACCUACCUAUAAGACUGGGAUAACUUCGGGAAACCGGAGCUAAUACCGGAUAAUAUAUUGAACCGCAUGGUUCAAUAGUGAAAGACGGUUUUGCUGUCACUUAUAGAUGGAUCCGCGCCGCAUUAGCUAGUUGGUAGGGUAACGGCUUACCAAGGCGACGAUGCGUAGCCGACCUGAGAGGGUGAUCGGCCACACUGGAACUGAGACACGGUCCAGACUCCUACGGGAGGCAGCAGUAGGGAAUCUUCCGCAAUGGGCGAAAGCCUGACGGAGCAACGCCGCGUGAGUGAUGAAGGUCUUCGGAUCGUAAAACUCUGUAAUUAGGGAAGAACAAAUGUGCAAGUAACUAUGCACGUCUUGACGGUACCUAAUCAGAAAGCCACGGCUAACUACGUG